AACAGCUCAAAUUUGAAAUCUGGCCCUAGGCCCGAGUUGUAAUUUGCAGAGGAUGCUUUUGGUGCGGUGCCUUCCAAGUUCCCUAGAACGGGACGCCAGAGAGGGUGAGAGCCCCGUACAGUUGGACACCAAGCCUUUGUAAAGCUCCUUCGACGAGUCGAGUAGUUUGGGAAUGCUGCUCAAAAUGGGAGGUAUAUUUCUUCUAAAGCUAAAUACCGGCCAGAGACCGAUAGCGCACAAGUAGAGUGAUCGAAAGAUGAAAAGCACUUUGAAAAGAGGGUUAAACAGCACGUGAAAUUGUUAAAAGGGAAGCGCUUGUGACCAGACUUGCGUCCGGUGAAUCACCCAGCUCUCGCGGCUGGGGCACUUCGCCGGCUCAGGCCAGCAUCAGCUCGCUGUCGGGGACAAAAGCUUCAGGAACGUAGCUCUCUUCGGGGAGUGUUAUAGCCUGUUGCACAAUACCCUUCGGCGGGCUGAGGUACGCGCUCCGCAAGGAUGCUGGCAUAAUGGUCAUCAGCGACCCGUCUUGAAACACGGACCAAGGAGUCAACCUUAUGUGCGAGUGUUCGGGUGUCAAACCCCUACGCGUAAUGAAAGUGAACGCAGGUGAGAGCUUCGGCGCAUCAUCGACCGAUCCUGAUGUUCUCGGAUGGAUUUGAGUAAGAGCCAUAUAGGGUUGGACCCGAAAGAAGGUGAACUAUGCGUGUAUAGGGUGAAGCCAGAGGAAACUCUGGUGGAGGCUCGCAGCGGUUCUGACGUGCAAAUCGAUCGUCAAAUAUGCGCAUGGGGGCGAAAGACUAAUCGAACCUUCUAGUAGCUGGUUUCCGCCGAAGUUUCCCUCAGGAUAGCCAGUGUUGAACUCAGUUUUAUGAGGUAAAGCGAAUGAUUAGGGACUCGGGGGCGCUAUAUUGCCUUCAUCCAUUCUCAAACUUUAAAUAUGUAAGAAGCCCUUGUUGCUUAAUUGAACGUGGGCAUUCGAAUGUAUCAACACUAGUGGGCCAUUUUUGGUAAGCAGAACUGGCGAUGCGGGAUGAACCGAACGCGAGGUUAAGGUGCCAGAGUAGACGCUCAUCAGACACCACAAAAGGUGUUAGUACAUCUUGACAGCAGGACGGUGGCCAUGGAAGUCGGAAUCCGCUAAGGA
This 1144-nucleotide ribosomal RNA is filed under the name fungal endophyte. RNAcentral's name for it is "eukaryotic LSU rRNA". It matches the Rfam family "Eukaryotic large subunit ribosomal RNA", at positions 103 to 1277 of the family's 3401-position model. The record is from RNAcentral. RNAcentral also lists the same sequence under 1 other name. Lineage: Eukaryota; Fungi.